UACGUAGGUCCCGAGCGUUGUCCGGAUUUAUUGGGCGUAAAGCGAGCGCAGGUGGUUUAUUAAGUCUGGUGUAAAAGGCAGUGGCUCAACCAUUGUAUGCAUUGGAAACUGGUAGACUUGAGUGCAGGAGAGGAGAGUGGAAUUCCAUGUGUAGCGGUGAAAUGUGUAGAUAUAUGGAGGAACACCGGUGGCGAAAGCGGCUCUCUGGCCUGUAAUUGACACUGAGGCUCGAAAGCGUGGGGAGCAAACAGG
Molecule: ribosomal RNA, 252 nt
Filed under: uncultured bacterium
Lineage: Bacteria
Description: partial 16S ribosomal RNA
Rfam family: Bacterial small subunit ribosomal RNA
Source: RNAcentral